Molecule: long non-coding RNA, 399 nt
Organism: Syngnathus acus (greater pipefish)
Lineage: Eukaryota; Metazoa; Chordata; Actinopteri; Syngnathiformes; Syngnathidae
Exons: 3
Source: RefSeq, a predicted model, not a curated record
UCCGGUUUAGCAGAGGUCACUUCCUGUUUAUUUGGGGUCACUUCCGGUUUAAAAAGGUCACUUCCGGUUUAAAAAGGUAACUUCCGGUUUACGUGAGGUCACUUCCGGUUUGAUUUGGGCCACUUCCGGUUUACCUGAGGUAACUUCCGGUCUAUUUGGGGUCACUUCCGGUUUGAUUUGGGGCACUUCCGGUUCAUUCUGGGUUCAUUGGGGGCACUUCAGGGUCAAUCCAAGAUGGCCGCCACACUGGAAGUGGGGGUCAAGGGUUGAAUUGUGUAAGCAUAGUGGAAGUGGGGGUGAAUGGGGGUAAAUAUGGUAAGCAUAAGGUGAACAAAGUGAAUAAAGUUGGAAUGGGUUGAAUCGGUCGAAAAAUGUAGAAAUUAGAUUUUCCCUUCUAAU